Molecule: non-coding RNA, 75 nt
Organism: Podarcis lilfordi (Lilford's wall lizard)
Lineage: Eukaryota; Metazoa; Chordata; Lepidosauria; Squamata; Lacertidae
Source: the annotation of a GenBank genome assembly
GUCGACGGAUAGCUCAGUCAGCAGAGCAGGAGACACUUAAUCUCAGGGUUGUGGGUUCGAGCGCCACAUUGGGCA